RNAcentral lists this ribosomal RNA (468 nucleotides) under uncultured bacterium. RNAcentral describes it as "partial 16S ribosomal RNA". It matches the Rfam family "Bacterial small subunit ribosomal RNA", at positions 28 to 507 of the family's 1533-position model. The record is from RNAcentral.
GACGAACGCUGGCGGCGCGCUUAACACAUGCAAGUCGAACGGAAAGGCCCUGCUUUUGGGGGGUGCUCGAGUGGCGAACGGGUGAGUAACAAGUGAGUAACCUGCCCUUGACUUUGGGAUAACUUCAGGAAACUGGGGCUAAUACCGGAUAGGAGCUCCUGCUGCAUGGUGGGGGUUGGAAAGUUUCGGCGGUUGGGGAUGGACUCGCGGCUUAUCAGCUUGGUGGUGGGGUAGUGGCUUACCAAGGCUUUGACGGGUAGCCGGCCUGAGAGGGUGACCGGCCACAUUGGGACUGAGAUACGGACCAGCCUCCUACGGGAGGGAGCAGUGGGGAAUAUUGCACGAUGGGCGGAAGCCUGACGCAGCAACGCCGCGUGCGGGAUGACGGCAUUCGGGUUGUAAGCCGAUUUCGCCUGUCACGAAGCGUGAAUGACGGUAAUGGGUAAAGAAGCACCGGCUAACUACGUG